This 272-nucleotide ribosomal RNA is filed under the name uncultured bacterium. Its description in RNAcentral is "partial 16S ribosomal RNA". It matches the Rfam family "Bacterial small subunit ribosomal RNA", at positions 28 to 306 of the family's 1533-position model. The record is from RNAcentral.
GAUAAACGCUGGCGGCGUGCCUAACACAUGCAAGUCGAACGCCCUUUUGCGCAAGUGAGAGGGAGUGGCGGACGGGUGAGUACCACGUGGGUACCUACCUUGAGGUGAGGAAUACCACCGAGAAAUCGGGUGACAAGACCGCAUACGCUCGGGCAACCGAGCAAAGUCAUGGCAAAUGACGCCACAAGAUGAGCCUGCGCCUGAUUAGCUGGUUGGUGAGGUAACAGCUCACCCAAGGCGACGGAUCAGUAGCUGGUCUGAGAGGAUGAUCA